UGUACCUACGGGGCGCAGCAGUGGGGAAUAUUGCACAAUGGGGGAAACCCUGAUGCAGCGACGCCGCGUGAGUGAAGAAGUAUUUCGGUAUGUAAAGCUCUAUCAGCAGGGAAGAUAAUGACGGUACCUGACUAAGAAGCCCCGGCUAACUACGUGCCAGCAGCCGCGGUAAUACGUAGGGAGCGAGCGUUGUCCGGAUUUACUGGGUGUAAAGGGCGCGUAGGCGGGUAAGCAAGUCAGAAGUGAAAUCCAUGGGCUUAACCCACGAACUGCUUUUGAAACUGUUUCUCUUGAUGGAAGUAGAG
RNAcentral lists this ribosomal RNA (305 nucleotides) under uncultured bacterium. RNAcentral's name for it is "bacterial SSU rRNA". It matches the Rfam family "Bacterial small subunit ribosomal RNA", at positions 334 to 656 of the family's 1533-position model. The record is from RNAcentral.